CCAUGGAUAUUAAAUUAGUCCGAGUGGUAGGCUUGUUUGUGGUGGAAACAUCACCUUGUUUCUCACCCAUUGGAAAUAAAUUCAUUGUUGUUGCCACCUGACGCACCAUCUCUGGUGUACCAUUUCCUUCAUGAAACAUAUACAUACAAGCACCAAAGAAACAUCAGAUCUCAUAAAUUUCUAAGUUUUGAAGCUUUUAAGGAGAAACAGUUCAAAGUAGAGUCUCUUAAGGGAAAAAAAAAA
RNAcentral lists this unclassified non-coding RNA (243 nucleotides) under Hevea brasiliensis (rubber tree). Lineage: Eukaryota; Viridiplantae; Streptophyta; Magnoliopsida; Malpighiales; Euphorbiaceae. The record is from RNAcentral.